UAAGCAUAUCAAUAAGCGGAGGAAAAGAAACCAACAGGGAUUGCCCCAGUAACGGCGAGUGAAGCGGCAAAAGCUCAGAUUUGAAAUCUCUUUUAUUUAAUUAAAAGCGAAUUGUAAUCUGUAGAAGGUUGAAUGGCAGAAAAUCUGAAUUAAAUUCCUUGGAAUAGGAUAUCAUAGAGGGUGAGAAUCCCGUGAUUUUCAGAAUUAAUAUGCCAAUUAAUUCACCUUUCGACGAGUCGAGUUGUUUGGGAAUGCAGCUCUAAAUGGGUGGUAAAUUUCAUCUAAAGCUAAAUACCUGCCAGAGACCGAUAGCGAACAAGUAGAGUGAUCGAAAGAUGAAAAGCACUUUGAAAAGAGAGUUAAAAAGCACGUGAAAUUACUGAAAGGGAAGCGCUUGCCAUUAGACUUGAUAAUUAAAUUCGGCCGACCUAUGGGUCCGGUUUACUUUUUAUUUAUCAGGCCAGCAUCAGUUUGGCGAGAUUAAUAAAAUUAAUUGGAAUGUAGCAAUGGCUUCGGUUGUUGUGUUAUAGCCAAUUAAAUAAUUAAUUUAUGCUGGACUGAGGUCUGCUCUUCGGAAAGGAUGCUGGCAUAAUGAUUGUAAGCGACCCGUCUUGAA
RNAcentral lists this ribosomal RNA (616 nucleotides) under Aptrootidea marginata. RNAcentral's name for it is "Echinoplaca marginata partial large subunit ribosomal RNA". It matches the Rfam family "Eukaryotic large subunit ribosomal RNA", at positions 35 to 658 of the family's 3401-position model. Lineage: Eukaryota; Fungi; Ascomycota; Lecanoromycetes; Ostropales; Graphidaceae. The record is from RNAcentral.